RNAcentral lists this ribosomal RNA (468 nucleotides) under uncultured bacterium. RNAcentral describes it as "partial 16S ribosomal RNA". It matches the Rfam family "Bacterial small subunit ribosomal RNA", at positions 28 to 507 of the family's 1533-position model. The record is from RNAcentral.
GACGAACGCUGGCGGCGUGCUUAACACAUGCAAGUCGAACGGAAAGGCCCUGCUUUUGUGGGGUGCUCGAGUGGCGAACGGGUGAGUAACACGUGAGUAACCUGCCCUUGACUUUGGGAUAACUUCAGGAAACUGGGGCUAAUACCGGAUAGGAGCUCCUGCUGCAUGGUGGGGGUUGGAAAGUUUCGGCGGGUGGGGAUGGACUCGCGGCUUAUCAGCUUGUUGGUUGGGUAGUGGCUUACCAAGGCUUUGACGGGUAGCCGGCCUGAGAGGGUGACCGGCCACAUUGGGACUGAGAUACGGCCCAGACUCCUACGGGAGGCAGCAGUGGGGAAUAUUGCACAAUGGGCGGAAGCCUGAUGCAGCAACGCCGCGUGCGGGAUGACGGCCUUCGGGUUGUAAACCGCUUUCGCCUGUGACGCAGCGUGAGUGACGGUAAUGGGUAAAGAAGCACCGGCUAACUACGUG